AGUUGUUAGUUCCAAGCAAGUUGUUGGUAUCCUUCACUUGUGCUUCAUCCUUCACUUGUUCUUCAUCCUUCAAUUCCUCUAGAGGAAGCUGGUUUCCAGCUUUGCUGUCGAUACCUACUACUGCAUGCUUAUACAUCAGGAGAUAUUGCUUUGGUGGCAUUAGCAACUGCAAGAUCUCCAUUAUGGAGCAUUUGGUUUGCCUGAAGUCCUUUCUUCCUAUUUCCAGAACGUUUGCCGUUAGAAAAUUGACACUGCCGUUUCAUGCUCUUCUGGGUCUUAGGCAAUCGCCGCCUCAUGGAAAUGAAGCGCCUCAAUGGAGGAGCAGCAUUAUGGUGAUGGCCAUGAAGGGAGCAAUAAGUAUAUGUACAAACAUUCAUGAAUGAAGUUCCUGUAGAUUCAUGUUCCCCAGGCUGAAGCUCGAGCUCCAAUGAGUUAGGGAAUUUGGAAUCCUUGAGAAUUGAAGAACAGGUAGCUUUAUUCAUGCUUGAGUUAGGAGAUUGACAUAUUUGACAACAUUUCACCGUGGAAGACUUCUUUGAUUUGAAAGUACCCAUUUUUGUUAAGACUCUCACAGGUCUCAAACUUGAUGCUCUAGUUACAACUCUCACAGAUUUGUUACUAGACAAAGUAGAUUUCGGCUUUGAAACACAUGAUUUUUUCCUAUUUUGAUAACAGCUACUAAAACUGGAUUCAGAAUUACGGGAUCUUGCCUGAUACCGGAAUUUGAAGCUUCUUGUGGAAAAACGUGGCCCCUCCAAUUUUUCCUGCCUGAUUGAUCUUGACCUCUUUGCUUUUCUCUGCACCUCAGUCCCUCCAGAGCUUUUACUCAUCAAAGUCCUCUUGAAUUUCAAACUAGCCAUUCUUGCCAAUCUCUUCUCAGGCUUUAAACUCGAUCUCCUUGCCGAGGUUGUCAUUGGAUUCUGUUCACAAGAAGUAAUAUUUGGUGUAUAAGAAAAUCUCUUCCUGAAUUAUUGUUACCAAGACUAGAUUCAAUGAUUUCAAGUACUUGCCUGAAAACUUCCCUUCCUCCUUGCAUCUGAACUGCUUGUGGCCUUCAUAUAACUUGGCGACACAUCUGACAUCUUAUUUGGAGUGGACUGUCCCGAGCUUGGUGGAUUAGCAGAGAAGGCAAUGAGGUGACCAUUUCGAGAUUUCGUUAAUCUGUUGGAUGAUCUUAAACUUGGAAAUCUUGAGAACUUGAUUGACCUCAGCUUCUUCAGUUUCUUCUUUGGAUCCUUUCCUCCCCUGUCACUGUUGUCCCCAAAACAAGAUGAGUCCUUGGUUAUAGAUGCCAUCUCAGACUCCGCAGACCCAACACUAUCAUAAUCGGUGCCAGCUUCAAGCUUGUUAGAAAUCAUUCUUUGAAUUUGUAACGAGAGUAUUCAACGCUAUGCUAUGGAGGUUGGAGUUAUCUUUCAGUCUCUAUCUUUACUCUGCGGUGGAGAAUUAAGCUUUGGAAGAAAAGCAAAAGUGCCCUUCUGGCUGUCUGGGAAGGACAAGGGAUUCAAAAGCUUGUGCCUGGUUAUAGCGACUCGUCUUCUUCAUCUUCCUCCAACUGCUUUUUAAAAUUUCAGCCAUGACUUUGCCACGUUACCAAGUUUGAUUAUGGUGGAGAAAGGGACAGGAAGAUGCCUUGACUUGUACAAACACAGAAUGCAUGCCAAUGACCUUGUCUUUCCGAUUCACUCUUUUUUCUUUUUUUUUUUUGAAGCUUUUUGGUAGAGAAUAAUGCCAGAAACUUGAUCAUUUUCGUACACAUGUCGUGCUGAUGAAAAACUCCAAAGACAAUAAAGAAAUAUUCAAAUCUUAGCUUA
Molecule: long non-coding RNA, 1814 nt
Organism: Carya illinoinensis
Lineage: Eukaryota; Viridiplantae; Streptophyta; Magnoliopsida; Fagales; Juglandaceae
Exons: 2
Source: RefSeq, a predicted model, not a curated record